GCCCCCCUUGCUGUCUGUCUCC
This 22-nucleotide microRNA is filed under the name Mus musculus (house mouse). RNAcentral's name for it is "mmu-miR-7082-3p". Lineage: Eukaryota; Metazoa; Chordata; Mammalia; Rodentia; Muridae. The record is from miRBase by way of RNAcentral.